Molecule: small RNA, 326 nt
Filed under: Vigna angularis var. angularis
Lineage: Eukaryota; Viridiplantae; Streptophyta; Magnoliopsida; Fabales; Fabaceae
Description: Non-protein coding transcript
Source: RNAcentral
CUUCCACCUACCCGUUCUGUUGUUAAGUCAUGAGGAGGAGAAAGUUCCAGCCACUAUAGGAUAGUGUAGUCCCUGCAGGUCAGUUGUUGUUAGCCUCUGCAGGACAGAUGUUUCCUGAAGGCUUGUUGUUGUUCAGGGCAAUUAAGUCCCUGAAGGUUUGUUGUUGUUUAGGGUAGUUAAGUCCCUACAGGUUUGUGGUUGUUAGCCUUUGAAGGCCUCCCAUAUGUUACUCAUGGAAAUCAUGUUCUUGAAGUUUUGUUGUUGUUCGCCACUAUUGAUGGCAAUCCAGUCCCUGCAGUUUGUUGUUGUUCGUCACUGGAGGCCCU